Molecule: ribosomal RNA, 492 nt
Filed under: uncultured bacterium
Lineage: Bacteria
Description: partial 16S ribosomal RNA
Rfam family: Bacterial small subunit ribosomal RNA
Source: RNAcentral
AGUGAACGCUGGCGGUAGGCCUAACACAUGCAAGUCGAACGGCAGCACAGUAAGAGCUUGCUCUUACGGGUGGCGAGUGGCGGACGGGUGAGGAAUACAUCGGAAUCUACUUUUUCGUGGGGGAUAACGUAGGGAAACUUACGCUAAUACCGCAUACGACCUACGGUUGAAAUCAGGGGAUCUUCGGACCUUGCGCGAUUGAAUGAGCCGAUGUGGGAUUAGCUAGUUGGGGGGGUAAAGGCCCACCACGGCGACGAUCCGUAGCUGGUCUCAGAGGAUGAUCAGCCACACUGGAACUGAGACACGGUCCAGACUCCUACGGGAGGCAGCAGUGGGGAAUAUUGGACAAUGGGCGAAAGCCUAAUCCAGCCAUACCGCGUAGGUGAAGAAGGCCUUCGGGUUGUAAAGCCCUUUUGUUGGGAAAGAAAAGCAGCAGGUUAAUACCCCGCUGUUCUGACGGUACCCAAAGAAUAAGCACCGGCUAACUUCGUG